RNAcentral lists this ribosomal RNA (254 nucleotides) under uncultured bacterium. RNAcentral describes it as "partial 16S ribosomal RNA". It matches the Rfam family "Bacterial small subunit ribosomal RNA", at positions 526 to 779 of the family's 1533-position model. The record is from RNAcentral.
CGGAGGAUCCAAGCGUUAUCCGGAAUCAUUGGGUUUAAAGGGUCCGUAGGCGGCUUUAUAAGUCAGUGGUGAAAUCUCACGGCUCAACCGUGAAAUGGCCAUUGAUACUGUAGGGCUUGAAUUACCAGGAAGUAACUAGAAUAUGUAGUGUAGCGGUGAAAUGCUUAGAUAUUACAUGGAAUACCAAUUGCGAAGGCAGGUUACUACUGGUGGAUUGACGCUGAUGGACGAAAGCGUGGGUAGCGAACAGGAUU